AGCUCCAAUAGCGUAUGCCCAUUUUGUUGUGGUUAAAAAGCUCGUAGUUGGAUCUCGGUUUCGGGAGUGUGGUGCGCCUUGCGGCGUUUACUGCACACCCGGACGAUUUUGUCGGUUCGUUCUUGGUGCUCUUAACCGGGUGCCUAGAGUGGCCGACACGUUUACUUUGAAAAAAUUGGAGUGCUCAAAGCAGGCGCUACAGCCUGAACAUUUGUGCAUGGAAUAAUGAAAUAGGAUCUCGGUUCUAUUUCGUUGGCUUUCGGAGUCGAGGUAAUGAUUAAUAGGGACAGACGGGGGCAUUCGUACUGCGACGUUAGAGGUGAAAUUCUUGGAUCGUCGCAAGACGAACUACUGCGAAAGCAUUUGCCAAGAAUGUUUUCA
This 381-nucleotide ribosomal RNA is filed under the name uncultured eukaryote. RNAcentral describes it as "SSU rRNA". It matches the Rfam family "Eukaryotic small subunit ribosomal RNA", at positions 587 to 972 of the family's 1831-position model. The record is from RNAcentral.